This 73-nucleotide transfer RNA is filed under the name Bos taurus (domestic cattle). It matches the Rfam family "tRNA". Rfam says of the family: Transfer RNA (tRNA) molecules are approximately 80 nucleotides in length. Their secondary structure includes four short double-helical elements and three loops (D, anti-codon, and T loops). Further hydrogen bonds mediate the characteristic L-shaped molecular structure. tRNAs have two regions of fundamental functional importance: the anti-codon, which is responsible for specific mRNA codon recognition, and the 3' end, to which the tRNAs corresponding amino acid is attached (by aminoacyl-tRNA synthetases). tRNAs cope with the degeneracy of the genetic code in two manners: having more than one tRNA (with a specific anti-codon) for a particular amino acid; and 'wobble' base-pairing, i.e. permitting non-standard base-pairing at the 3rd anti-codon position. The record is from Rfam by way of RNAcentral. Lineage: Eukaryota; Metazoa; Chordata; Mammalia; Artiodactyla; Bovidae. RNAcentral also lists the same sequence under 5 other names.
UCACUGGUGGUCCAGUGGUUAAGACUUUGGGCUUGCAACACAGGGGGCCCAUGUUCAGUCCCUGGCCAGAGAA